RNAcentral lists this unclassified non-coding RNA (1392 nucleotides) under Portunus trituberculatus (swimming crab). RNAcentral describes it as "serine/arginine repetitive matrix protein 1-like, transcript variant X1". The record is from RNAcentral. Lineage: Eukaryota; Metazoa; Arthropoda; Malacostraca; Decapoda; Portunidae.
GGGGGUGUGUGUAUAAAUGCGCUGUGUUCCUGACAGGGUUUUUUAAUGGUGUUGCAGUUGCCUGAAGUGAUGUCAGGGGCUAACACCAGCUACUACCAGGAGGCGGCGGAGCUGGCGGUGGGCUACCGCUGCUCCUGCCGGCACAGCAUGGGCGGGCCGCAGUGCAGCAUUGUCACGGUAGUGGUGGGCAGCGUGGCGCGACCAAGCACCGAGGCGGAGGCCAUGUCGGCGGGUCAGGUGGUGCUGGUGGUGGUGUUCAGCACCGCUAUGCCCGUGCUAGUGGUGGAAUUGGUGUUGGUGAUUGUGUGCAUGAAGCGGAAACGCGUACGUGACUGCCCGUGUCGGGAUGAGGAGGCGCGGCGUCAGAACGAGCAGAACAUGGUGCACAACGCUGUGGGCGCCGUCAACAGUGUCUGGACCACCACAUGAUCUACUCCCUAAACUUCCCCAUCAAGAAACCUCUCAAAACCGUGCCACCGCCUCCUCCCCUUGCAUCACCCACACCACACCCACCUCCACCACCAUCACCUCCACGACCACGACUACAAGAAUCCCGCGGAGAACGCAUACUCCGCAGUGCCCAUGCGCAGCAGCAGGACUCAACAAGGAUGUGUCGCGGCUCUCGCUGGCUGACCGCCUCGAGAAGGACAUUGAGCCCCCGCCCAGCGCCUGCGUCACGCCCACCUCGGACUCCAGCGCCCCAUGCAAGGUGUUCCGGAAUUCCUUCCUGCCGCGCACAUACAGCCACAGGCCGAAAUCAAGCGACCGCCGGCAGAGAGGAGUCUUCUCCUGGACGUUUGAAGAGUACCACCUUCUUGAAGCACAGAGCACAGACAGCGCUGGAAACUGGACUACUACAGUUUGAGCAGAGUCCAACAUCUGUGUAUCUGCACCAGAAUCAAGUGUCCAGGGAGGAAAUGAUACGUCUGCAGAGAUGUGCCAGGAGGAGGGACUCUUGGAACAGGCCUUCACACAACAGGGAUUGGGGUGGGGGUGGGGGGACCUUAUAGCAGCAGGUGACUAGGAGAGAGGUUCCCCACAAGAUGCAACACACCACAUCCUCCAAACGCAAAAUAUAUUUGCCAAUAAAGAAGUGUCAAGUGAGCCAGCCUCCACCACAGACGAUGUGGCGGAGCAUCGCGCCUGGUGUGAACCUCCCCAUAGCAAGCUAAGUCUGCGCGACGUUGGUACGUGGUGUGCGUCGUCUCCGGUGUGAGACGGCCUUAACGAGUCUGAGCAGCUUCCCUUGUGAAGAUAUAAGCCACAAUUCUAUUUUUGCAAUGUAUGAAGGUGUCACAUGAUAACGUGUAGUGUCAGUGUGUCAUGUGUGGAGGAAUGCACAGCUCUUCACACAGCCUGACCACUCAGCGGUAAAUAAAGUCAAUAAUCUGG